RNAcentral lists this long non-coding RNA (341 nucleotides) under Nicotiana benthamiana. RNAcentral describes it as "long non-coding RNA (NBEN_LNC040543)". Lineage: Eukaryota; Viridiplantae; Streptophyta; Magnoliopsida; Solanales; Solanaceae. The record is from RNAcentral.
GAAAACACCACAUGUUCGAGUUUGCAAAUUGGACUAGGCUAGAUCCUGCUUCCUUUCUAAUUCCCUUUACAACCAUCAUAUUUCUCACCUUCUCCACGUCAUCCCAUCUCUCUUGCGCAGCAUAUAUGUUGGAUAGAAGCACAUAGGAUCCAAUAUCCUCUGGAUCCCUCUCAAUUAAUCUCUUGGCUAUGAUCUCGCCAAGCGCAGCAUAUAUGUUGGAUAGAAGCACAUACGAUCCAAUUUCCUCUGGAUCCCUCUCAAUUAAUCUCUUGGCUAUGAUCUCGCCAAGUUCCACAUUUGAGUGGGUCUUGCAAGCUGAAAGCAAAGCUCCCCAUAAUGCC